RNAcentral lists this ribosomal RNA (432 nucleotides) under uncultured bacterium. RNAcentral describes it as "partial 16S ribosomal RNA". It matches the Rfam family "Bacterial small subunit ribosomal RNA", at positions 29 to 506 of the family's 1533-position model. The record is from RNAcentral.
AACGAACGCUGGCGGCAUGCCUAACGCAUGCAAGUCGAACGAGACCUUCGGGUCUAGUGGCGCACGGGUGCGUAACGCGUGGGAACCUGCCCUUAGGUUCGGAAUAACUCCCCGAAAGGGGUGCUAAUACCGGAUAAUGUCUUCGGACCAAAGAUUUAUCGCCUUUGGAUGGGCCCGCGUUGGAUUAGCUAGUUGGUAGGGUAAAAGCCUACCAAGGCGACGAUCCAUAGCUGGUCUGAGAGGAUGAUCAGCCACACUGGGACUGAGACACGGCCCAGACUCCUACGGGAGGCAGCAGUGGGGAAUAUUGGACAAUGGGCGAAAGCCUGAUCCAGCAAUGCCGCGUGAGUGAUGAAGGCCUUAGGGUUGUAAAGCUCUUUUACCCGGGAUGAUAAUGACAGUACCGGGAGAAGAAGCUCCGGCUAACUCCGU